GCCUACCAUGGUGGUAACGGGUAACGGGGUGUUAGGGCACGACACCGGAGAGGGAGCCUGAGAAACGGCUACCACAUCCAAGGAUGGCAGCAGGCGCGCAAAUUACCCAAUCCCGACACGGGGAGGUAGUGACAAUAAAUAACAAUACGGGGUUCUUUAGGAUCUCGUAAUUGGAAUGAGUACAAUUUAAAUCUCUUAACGAGGAACAAUUGGAGGGCAAGUCUGGUGCCAGCAGCCGCGGUAAUUCCAGCUCCAAUAGCGUAUAUUAAAGUUGUUGCAGUUAAAAAGCUCGUAGUUGAAUUUCGGGGUUAGUAGGUUGGUCAUGCCUCUGGUAUGUACUGGUCUCACUGAUUCCUCCUUCCUGAUGAGCCGUAAUGCCAUUAAUUUGGUGUUGCGGGGAAUUUGGACUGUUACUUUGAAAAAAUUAGAGUGUUUAAAGCAAGCUAACGCUUGAAUACAUUAGCAUGGAAUAAUGAAAUAGGACGUUCGAUCCUAUUUUGUUGGUUUCUAGGAUUGACGUAAUGAUUAAUAGGGAUAGUUGGGGGCAUUAGUAUUCAAUUGUCAGAGGUGAAAUUCUUGGAUUUAUUGAAGACUAACUACUGCGAAAGCAUUUGCCAAGGAUGUUUUCAUUAAUCAAGAACGAAAGUUAGGGGAUCGAAGACGAUCAGAUACCGUCGUAGUCUUAACCAUAAACUAUGCCGACUAGGGAUCGGAUGAUGUUAAUUUUUUAAUGACUCAUUCGGCGCCUUACA
Molecule: ribosomal RNA, 752 nt
Filed under: uncultured Glomus
Lineage: Eukaryota; Fungi; Glomeromycota; Glomeromycetes; Glomerales; Glomeraceae
Description: SSU rRNA
Rfam family: Eukaryotic small subunit ribosomal RNA
Source: RNAcentral